AAAAAAUUUUAGGAAGUAGCUAAUUUAAGCUUGAAAGAUAACAAAAAUAACAAGAGCUUUUUUGGUUUUUGGUUUUUUAAUACAGGAAAAAACCUGAAAACAAUAAAAAUUAUUUAUCAUCCAGGGACAGGUCAUCCUGGGUCCUGCUGCCUACUUGGACACCUGUUAAGACUUCAGAGAGAAGGGAGAUUGGAGACAAAAAGAAAACUUCUAAGAGUUCAUUUGAAGUCCACUAAGGGCAUCCUUUGCAACAGCUUUCCUAGUGGGCAGGAACUGCUUGGGAUCCCAGAGAAGAGGGCCCAAGCCACAGGAAGGAGGGAAAACCACGGAAGUGCCACAGGCAGGCAAUGAAGACUCCAGAUCCAAUAUAAUUACUUGUAUUUUCCCGAUCCGACUGGAUGGCUCUCUGCUUUUAAAUGGAGUGAGACCUGAAGAAUCCUGUGUGAAAUUAAAUUUAGUUAAAAAUCCAUUGAGGGAACAGGAAACAAACUGUGUCUUGGAUUACAUUCAUAUCUGUUUCUCAAGUGUGGAAAAAGUGGGGAUAAAAGGAUAGAGUGAAAGGGAGGGUGCUGGCUGCUACUGCCUCUUUAACUAAGAACUCUGAGCAACCCUCGUUCUACACCCGGAACUGUCUAAGCAGGAUGAGCUUGUGGCUGAAAAGCAGCUCUUCAUCCUGGAAGACGCCUGUGCUCUUGGGGCGGCCAUCAGUUUUGAGACCCUUGGCAAAAGACAACGGACACAACAGAGAUGUGGUAAAAGUCUGACCACAGCCUACAUGCCAAUCACCAGGGGAAAGACAUUCACAAACA
Peromyscus eremicus (cactus mouse) is the source of this 809-nucleotide long non-coding RNA. RefSeq lists it as uncharacterized. The record is from RefSeq and is a predicted model, not a curated record. NCBI's taxonomy places the organism in Eukaryota, Metazoa, Chordata, Mammalia, Rodentia, Cricetidae. The transcript is spliced from 4 exons.